GUUAAACUUGAGAAAGGAUGGUUUUAGAAUCACUUACAUGAUGAUUAACAAGCUCUCUCACCGCGUCAACGCAUUUAUCAUCGUUCAAACUCGACCAGGAUUCUGGCAAGCUGCCAUCGCUACCAGCACCGUCGUCCGUCUGAAAUGACUCUUACCUUCUCCCACCAUUGAUGAAAUCUUUGAGCGCGCUCGUGAUUGCUCAUGAACUCUUGAAACUGACGAUGCUUGGACUGCAAUGUCGUGCGUAGAGAGGCAACUUCCCUACAUAAAUUUUCUACCUAGUACCACACACACACAGAUAUCGAUGCAUUAACAAAAAAGAUAACUGAAAAAAAUAUAGUUUAGAUGCGA
Long non-coding RNA from Bombus huntii, 351 nucleotides. RefSeq lists it as uncharacterized. The record is from RefSeq and is a predicted model, not a curated record. NCBI's taxonomy places the organism in Eukaryota, Metazoa, Arthropoda, Insecta, Hymenoptera, Apidae. The transcript is spliced from 2 exons.